RNAcentral lists this ribosomal RNA (301 nucleotides) under uncultured bacterium. RNAcentral's name for it is "partial 16S ribosomal RNA". It matches the Rfam family "Bacterial small subunit ribosomal RNA", at positions 509 to 807 of the family's 1533-position model. The record is from RNAcentral.
CAGCCGCCACGGUAAUACGAAGGGGGCUAGCGUUGUUCGGAUUUACUGGGCGUAAAGGGCGCGUAGGCGGACUGAUAAGUCAGGGGUGAAAUCCCAAGGCUCAACCUUGGAACUGCCUUUGAUACUGUUUGUCUUGAGUUCGAGAGAGGUAAGUGGAACUGCGAGUGUAGAGGUGAAAUUCGUAGAUAUUCGCAAGAACGCCAGUGGCGAAGGCGGCUUACUGGCUCGAAACUGACGCUGAGGCGCGAAAGCGUGGGGAGCAAACAGGAUUAGAUACCCGCGUAGUCCCUGUCUCUUAUAC